GGGUUAAUAGCAUAGAUUUUGAAAAGUGCAUUGGAUUGCAGAUCCAAAGGAGUUUAGAUAUUAACUUAGCUCU
RNAcentral lists this transfer RNA (73 nucleotides) under Hoploplana elisabelloi. Its description in RNAcentral is "tRNA-Cys". The record is from RNAcentral. Lineage: Eukaryota; Metazoa; Platyhelminthes; Polycladida; Hoploplanidae.